AGAGUUUGAUCAUGGCUCAGGAUGAACGCUAGCGGCAGGCCUAACACAUGCAAGUCGAGGGGUAACAGGGGAGCUUGCUCUCGCUGACGACCGGCGCACGGGUGCGUAACGCGUAUACAAUCUACCUUUUGCUGAGGGAUAGCCCAGAGAAAUUUGGAUUAACACCUCAUAGUAUGUAUUAAUGGCAUCAUUAAUAUAUUAAAGGUUACGGCAAAAGAUGAGUAUGCGUUCUAUUAGCUAGAUGGUGUGGUAACGGCACACCAUGGCAACGAUAGAUAGGGGCCCUGAGAGGGGGAUCCCCCACACUGGUACUGAGACACGGACCAGACUCCUACGGGAGGCGGCAGUGAGGAAUAUUGGGCAAUGGAGGCAACUCUGACCCAGCCAUGCCGCGUGCAGGAAGACUGCCCUAUGGGUUGUAAACUGCUUUUAUACAGGAAGAAACACUCCCUCGUGAGGGAGCUUGACGGUACUGUAAGAAUAAGGAUCGGCUAACUCCGUGCCAGCAGCCGCGGUAAUACGGAGGAUCCAAGCGUUAUCCGGAAUCAUUGGGUUUAAAGGGUCCGUAGGUGGAUAAUUAAGUCAGAGGUGAAAUCCUGCAGCUCAACUGUAGAAUUGCCUUUGAUACUGGUUAUCUUGAGUUAUUAUGAAGUAGUUAGAAUAUGUAGUGUAGCGGUGAAAUGCAUAGAUAUUACAUAGAAUACCAAUUGCGAAGGCAGAUUACUAAUAAUAUACUGACACUGAUGGACGAAAGCGUGGGGAGCGAACAGGAUUAGAUACCCUGGUAGUCCACGCCGUAAACGAUGGUCACUAGCUGUUUGGACUUCGGUCUGAGUGGCUAAGCGAAAGUGAUAAGUGACCCACCUGGGGAGUACGUUCGCAAGAAUGAAACUCAAAGGAAUUGACGGGGGCCCGCACAAGCGGUGGAGCAUGUGGUUUAAUUCGAUGAUACGCGAGGAACCUUACCAGGGCUUAAAUGUAAGUUGCAUGAUUUAGAGAUAGAUCUUUCUUCGGACUACUUACAAGGUGCUGCAUGGUUGUCGUCAGCUCGUGCCGUGAGGUGUCAGGUUAAGUCCUAUAACGAGCGCAACCCCUGUUGUUAGUUGCCAGCGAGUCAUGUCGGGAACUCUAACAAGACUGCCAGUGCAAACCGUGAGGAAGGUGGGGAUGACGUCAAAUCAUCACGGCCCUUACGUCCUGGGCUACACACGUGCUACAAUGGUAGGUACAGAGAGCAGCCACUGCGCGAGCAGGAGCGAAUCUAUAAAACCUAUCACAGUUCGGAUCGGAGUCUGCAACUCGACUCUGUGAAGCUGGAAUCGCUAGUAAUCGGAUAUCAGCCAUGAUCCGGUGAAUACGUUCCCGGGCCUUGUACACACCGCCCGUCAAGCCAUGGAAGUUGGGAGUGCCUGGAGUCCGUCACCGUAAGGAGCGGCCUAGGGUAAAAUCGAUAACUAGGGCUAAGUCGUAACAAGGUA
RNAcentral lists this ribosomal RNA (1478 nucleotides) under metagenome. RNAcentral describes it as "bacterial SSU rRNA". It matches the Rfam family "Bacterial small subunit ribosomal RNA". The record is from RNAcentral.